Molecule: ribosomal RNA, 301 nt
Filed under: uncultured bacterium
Lineage: Bacteria
Description: partial 16S ribosomal RNA
Rfam family: Bacterial small subunit ribosomal RNA
Source: RNAcentral
CAGUCGCCACGGGAAUACAGAGGGUGCGAGCGUUAAUCGGAUUUACUGGGCGUAAAGCGUGCGUAGGCGGCUUCUUAAGUCGGAUGUGAAAUCCCUGAGCUUAACUUAGGAAUUGCAUUCGAUACUGGGAAGCUAGAGUAUGGGAGAGGAUGGUAGAAUUCCAGGUGUAGCGGUGAAAUGCGUAGAGAUCUGGAGGAAUACCGAUGGCGAAGGCAGCCAUCUGGCCUAAUACUGACGCUGAGGUACGAAAGCAUGGGGAGCAAACAGGAUUAGAUACCCCGGUAGUCCCUGUCUCUUAUAU